This 496-nucleotide ribosomal RNA is filed under the name uncultured bacterium. RNAcentral describes it as "partial 16S ribosomal RNA". It matches the Rfam family "Bacterial small subunit ribosomal RNA", at positions 30 to 523 of the family's 1533-position model. The record is from RNAcentral.
UUGAACGCUGGCGGCAGGCCUAACACAUGCAAGUCGAGCGCGAAAGGUUUUCGGACUGAGUAAAGCGGCGGACGGGUGAGUAACGCGUGGGAAUCUGCUCAGUAGUGGGGGACAACAGCCGGAAACGGCUGCUAAUACCGCAUACGCCCUACGGGGGAAAGGGGGGGAUCUUCGGACCUCUCGCUAUUGGAUGAGCCCGCGUCGGAUUAGCUAGUUGGUAGGGUAAAGGCAUACCAAGGCUACGAUCCGUAACUGGUCUGAGAUCAUGAUCAGUCACACUUGAACGGGGAAACGGUCGAGGCUCCUACGGGAGUCAGGAGUGGGGCAUAAUGGCACAGGGGGGCAACCCUUAUCCAGCCAUGCCGCGUGUGUGAAGAAGGCCUUAGGGUUGUAAAGCACUUUCAGUGGGGAGAAAGGUUUCUCACCUAAUACGUGAUGAAAUUGAUGUUACCCACAGAAGAAGCACCGGCUAACUCCGUGCAAGCCGCCGCCGUAA